This 1441-nucleotide ribosomal RNA is filed under the name uncultured bacterium. RNAcentral's name for it is "bacterial SSU rRNA". It matches the Rfam family "Bacterial small subunit ribosomal RNA". The record is from RNAcentral.
GAGUUUGAUCAUGGCUCAGGAUGAACGCUGGCGGCGUGCCUAACACAUGCAAGUCGAACGAGAAGUUCACCUUCGGGUGGAUGGAGAGUGGCGAACGGGUGAGUAACACGUAGUUAAUCUGCCCCGAAGAAUGGGAUAACUUGUGGAAACACAGGCUAAUACCAGAUAAGCCCACGGACUGUAGAAGUCUGUGAGAAAAGGCUGAGGCGCUUUGGGAUGAGACUGCGGUCCAUCAGCUAGUUGGUAAGGUAAAGGCUUACCAAGGCGACGACGGAUAGGGGGCCUGAGAGGGUGACCCCCCACACUGGGACUGAGACACGGCCCAGACUCCUACGGGAGGCAGCAGUGAGGAAUAUUGCACAAUGGGCGAAAGCCUGAUGCAGCGACGCCGCGUGGGUGAAGAAGGUUUUCGGAUCGUAAAGCCCUUUUCUUAGUGACGAGAGAGGACGGUAGCUAAGGAAAAAGUGUCGGCUAACUACGUGCCAGCAGCCGCGGUAAAACGUAGGACGCAAGCGUUAUCCGGAGUUACUGGGCGUAAAGCGCGAGCAGGUGGUUCAAUAAGUUACCUAUGAAAGCUCCUGGCUAAACUAGGAGAGGAUGGGUGAUACUGUUGGACUAGAGUGAAAGAGAGGGAAACGGAAUUCCGGGUGUAGUGGUGAAAUGCGUAGAUAUCCGGAGGAACACCAGAGGCGAAGGCGGUUUCCUGGCUUUCAACUGACACUGAGACGCGAAAGCGUGGGUAGCGAACGGGAUUAGAAACCCCGGUAGUCCACGCCGUAAACGAUGCACACUAGACGUUCGAGGAGGAGACGAAUUGGGUGUCGAAGCAAACGCGAUAAGUGUGCCGCCUGGGGAGUACGGUCGCAAGGCUAAAACUCAAAGGAAUUGACGGGGGCCCGCACAAGCAGCGGAGCGUGUGGUUUAAUUCGAGGCUACGCGAAGAACCUUACCUAGGCUUGACAUCUAACCGGUACGAAUGCGAAAGCAGGAGGACCCUUCGGGGAGGUUAGACAGGUGCUGCAUGGUUGUCGUCAGCUCGUGCCGUGAGGUGUUCGGUUAAGUCCGCAAACGAGCGCAACCCACGUCGUUAGUUACAAGUGUCUAACGAGACAGCCCACGACAAGUGGGAGGAAGGUGUGGAUGACGUCAAAUCAGCAUGGCCUUUAUGUCUAGGGCUACACACACGCUACAAUGGUUAGGACAAUAGGUAGCGAAGGAGCGAUCUGGAGCCAAUCCAGGAAACCUAAUCUCAGUUCGGAUUGUAGGCUGCAACUCGCCUGCAUGAAGUCGGAGUUGCUAGUAAACGCACGUCAGCACAGUGCGUUGAAUACGUUCCCGGGCCUUGUACACACCGCCCGUCACGUCAUGGGAGCUGGUUACGCCUGAAGUCGGGAAGCUAACCGAAAGGAGGCUACCGCCGAAGGCAGAGCUGGUGACUGGG